UGGGGAAUAUUGCGCAAUGGGCGGAAGCCUGACGCAGCGACGCCGCGUGGGGGAUGACGGCCUUCGGGUUGUAAACCUCUUUCGACCCCGGCGAAGGGUGACUGACGGUAGGGGUAGAAGAAGCACCGGCCAACUACGUGCCAGCAGCCGCGGUAACACGUAGGGUGCGAGCGUUGUCCGGAAUUAUUGGGCGUAAAGAGCUCGUAGGCGGUGUGUCGCGUCGGCCGUGAAAACCUGCAGCUUAACUGUGGGCUUGCGGUCGAUACGGGCAUCACUGGAGUUCGGCAGGGGAGACUGGAAUUCCUGGUGUAGCGGUGAAAUGCGCAGAUAUCAGGAGGAACACCGGUGGCGAAGGCGGGUCUCUGGGCCGAUACUGACGCUGAGGAGCGAAAGCGUGGGGAGCGAACA
Molecule: ribosomal RNA, 408 nt
Filed under: uncultured Pseudonocardia sp.
Lineage: Bacteria; Bacillati; Actinomycetota; Actinomycetes; Pseudonocardiales; Pseudonocardiaceae
Description: bacterial SSU rRNA
Rfam family: Bacterial small subunit ribosomal RNA
Source: RNAcentral